GUUUACAGCCCAACCAUCCUGAGCACGCUCAAUCUCUUCUGAUCUCGGAAGCUAAGCAGCAUCGGAUCUGGUUAGUAUGUGAUGCCAUUUAGGGUGGCUAUAUCUCAGGAGAUCGAAAAUG
RNAcentral lists this ribosomal RNA (121 nucleotides) under Amphilophus citrinellus (Midas cichlid). Lineage: Eukaryota; Metazoa; Chordata; Actinopteri; Cichliformes; Cichlidae. The record is from RNAcentral.